GAUGAACGCUGGCGGCGUGCUUAACACAUGCAAGUCGAACGGGAAACCUUUUAAUGAAGCUUCGGCAGAUUUAGCUGGUUUCUAGUGGCGGACGGGUGAGUAACGCGUGGGUAACCUGCCUUAUACAGGGGGAUAACAGUCAGAAAUGACUGCUAAUACCGCAUAAGCGCACAGGACCGCAUGGUCCGGUGUGAAAAACUCCGGUGGUAUAAGAUGGACCCGCGUUGGAUUAGCUUGUUGGUGGGGUAACGGCUCACCAAGGCGACGAUCCAUAGCCGGCCUGAGAGGGUGAACGGCCACAUUGGGACUGAGACACGGCCCAGACUCCUACGGGAGGCAGCAGUGGGGAAUAUUGCACAAUGGGGGAAACCCUGAUGCAGCGACGCCGCGUGAAGGAAGAAGUAUCUAGGUAUGUAAACUUCUAUCAGCAGGGAAGAUAGUGACGGUACCUGACUAAGAAGCCCCGGCUAACUACGUG
RNAcentral lists this ribosomal RNA (478 nucleotides) under uncultured bacterium. RNAcentral describes it as "partial 16S ribosomal RNA". It matches the Rfam family "Bacterial small subunit ribosomal RNA", at positions 28 to 507 of the family's 1533-position model. The record is from RNAcentral.